This 100-nucleotide ribosomal RNA is filed under the name uncultured bacterium. Its description in RNAcentral is "partial 16S ribosomal RNA". The record is from RNAcentral.
UGCCGCGUGAAUGAAUGUAAGGUUCUUAGGAUUGUAAAAUUCUUUCAGCGGGGACGAUAAUGACGGUACCCGCAAGAAGAAGCCCCGACUAACUUCGUGC